AGCAAUCAGCUGGGCCUGAAGAAAAGAUGAGGACAUUUUCAUCCUGAGGGAAAAAAUCCGCAGUUUCUUUGCCAGUGAUUGUACAGCGAAGCUUCUAUCUGCUAUGGUCAAGUGUAAAAACGCCAUUACUGUACUUACCAGAUUCGGGUCAGGGCUCUAAAGUGCUUCCACAACAAACUCAUACAACCGUUGCUUUAUGGAUCUUGCUUUGUGCAACCCAGAACACAAAGUUGAAGAGUCUGUCAUGUGCCCUUGCUCCCUGGAAACCAGUGCUCACCUCUUGCGGCCCACCGACAACACGGACUCCUACCCUGCCAGACCUGUCCUCGUUGGAACCCUGCC
Molecule: long non-coding RNA, 342 nt
Organism: Phyllopteryx taeniolatus (common seadragon)
Lineage: Eukaryota; Metazoa; Chordata; Actinopteri; Syngnathiformes; Syngnathidae
Exons: 3
Source: RefSeq, a predicted model, not a curated record